GCCCGGGUAGCUCAGUCGGUAGAGCAGAGGACUGAAAAUCCUCGUGUCGGCGGUUCGAUUCCGUCCCCGGGCACCA
RNAcentral lists this transfer RNA (76 nucleotides) under Deltaproteobacteria bacterium. RNAcentral describes it as "tRNA-Phe". It matches the Rfam family "tRNA". From Rfam's summary of the family: Transfer RNA (tRNA) molecules are approximately 80 nucleotides in length. Their secondary structure includes four short double-helical elements and three loops (D, anti-codon, and T loops). The record is from RNAcentral. RNAcentral also lists the same sequence under 2 other names. Lineage: Bacteria; Pseudomonadati; Myxococcota; Myxococcia.